This 673-nucleotide ribosomal RNA is filed under the name uncultured bacterium. Its description in RNAcentral is "bacterial SSU rRNA". It matches the Rfam family "Bacterial small subunit ribosomal RNA", at positions 355 to 1027 of the family's 1533-position model. The record is from RNAcentral.
UGAGGAAUAUUGGUCAAUGGGCGAGAGCCUGAACCAGCCAAGUCGCGUGAAGGAAGACUGCCCGCAAGGGUUGUAAACUUCUUUUGUAUGGGAUUAAAGUCACCUACGUGUAGGUGUUUGCAGUUACCAUACGAAUAAGCAUCGGCUAACUCCGUGCCAGCAGCCGCGGUAAUACGGAGGAUGCGAGCGUUAUCCGGAAUUAUUGGGUUUAAAGGGUGCGUAGGUUGCAAGGGAAGUCAGGGGUGAAAAGCUAUAGCUCAACUAUGGUCUUGCCUUUGAAACUCUCUAGCUAGAGUGUACUGGAGGUACGUGGAACGUGUGGUGUAGCGGUGAAAUGCAUAGAUAUCACACAGAACUCCGAUUGCGCAGGCAGCGUACUACAUUACAACUGACACUGAAGCACGAAAGCGUGGGUAUCAAACAGGAUUAGAUACCCUGGUAGUCCACGCAGUAAACGAUGAAUACUAGAUCUAUGCGAUAUGACAGUAUGGGUCUAAGCGAAAGCGAUAAGUAUUCCACCUGGGGAGUACGCCGGCAACGGUGAAACUCAAAGAGAUUGGCGGGGGUCCACACAAGCGGAGGAACAUGUGGUUUAAUUCGAUGAUACGCGAGGAACCUUACCCGGGAUUGAAAUGUAGAUGCAUGAGGCUGAGAGGUCUCUUCCCUUCGGGGC